RNAcentral lists this long non-coding RNA (1131 nucleotides) under Monodelphis domestica (gray short-tailed opossum). RNAcentral's name for it is "lncRNA (ENSMODG00000050205.1)". Lineage: Eukaryota; Metazoa; Chordata; Mammalia; Didelphimorphia; Didelphidae. The record is from RNAcentral.
AAAGCCACAGAUUCUGUCACGUCUGUGUGCCCAGGGCCUGGCAGCUUUAACACAGUAGGUGCUUAAAAAUGUUGGUUGGAAUCAAUUGGCCAAAUAUAGCUCUAUAGCAAAAGGAUCCGUCUGUAUCCAUUCACUUAAUUCUCUCUGCCUUAUCUGAUUGCCUUUUUUUUUUAAUCCUUACUUUCUGUCUUAGAAACAACUCUAAGACAGGAGGGCAAAGGCUAGACAAACAGAGUAAAGUGACAUGCUCAGGGUCACACAGCUAGGAAGUAUCUGAGCCAGAUAUGGUCUUUUUUUUUUCCUUAACCUUUACCUUCUGCCUUGGAAUCAACUGUAUAUUGGUUCCAAGGCAGAAGAGUGGUCAGGGUUAGGCAAUGCGGGUCAAGUGACUUGCCUAUGGUCAUAGGGCUAGGAAGUGUCUGAGGUCACAUUCGAAUCCAGGACCUCCAAUCUCUAGACCUCACUCUCAAUCCACUGAGUCACCCAGCUGGUUCCUCUUUAUACCCCCUCCCCCCAACCUGUUCCGUGGUCUUUUAGCAAAGCUCCCACUCUUGGUUUUUUUUUUUUUUUUUUUUUUUUUUUUUUUUGAGCUCUUGCUUGGUUUUAAAGUCUUUCCUUUCCCAAAGAUCUGACAAGUAUAUUAUUCUGUGUUUACCUAAUUUGCUUAUAGUUUCCUUCUUUAUGUUCAAGUCAUUCACCCAUUCUGAGUUUAUCUUGGUGUAGGGAUGAUGUUGAUCCAAACCUAAUCUCUCCCACACUGCCUUCCAAUUUUCCCAGCAGUUUUUAUCAAAUAGUGGGUUUUGGUCCCCAAAACUGGGAUCUUUGGGCUUAUCAUAGACUGUCUUGCUGAGGUCACUUACCCCAAGUCAAUUCAACUGAUCCUCCUUUCUGUCUCUUAGCCAGUACCAAAUUGUUUUCAUGACAACGGCUUUAUAGUAUAGAUUGAGGUCUGGGAUUGCAAGGCCUCCUUCCUUCACAUUUUUUUUCAUGAUCCCUGGAUAUCUUUGAUCUUUUGUUCUUCCAAAUGAACUUUGUUAAGGUUUUUUCUAGUUCAGUAAAAAAGUUUUUUGGUAGUUCAAUGGGUAUGGCACUGAAUAAGUAAAUUAAUUUGGGUAGGAGUGUCAUUUUUAU